UUUAGGGAUUUGAUUUGAUUUGUCGAUGAAAUUGGAAUCAAUUUGACGAAGAUUCCGUAAAAGGAUUAUGGAAUCGUGUCCUUUGUGUGGUUCGUGCUUGGGAAUAGCUCCACAUUCUGAAACCGUGUUCUUGUUUAUGGUGCUAGUAGUCGCAUUUGAGUUUGAUUUCUGGAUCUCACGGUUCUUCUUGACGUUAUUGUGUUAAGCAUUCUGAUUCAUGGUUUAAUUAGUUAGGAGGAAACUGAGGAACCUAAGCUAGAAGAUGUGAUGCGUAGAGCUGCAACUAAAGAUGGUACAUUGAUUUUGACAACUUUGAAUGAAGCUUAGGCAGCUCUGGGAUCUGUAAUGGAUGUCCUCUUUGAGAGUUUUAGAAUUGGUAAAGGAACAAGAAAGCUUUUGAUGUGCUGUGUAGAGCUGCAACUAACGAUGGUGAUAAUUUCUCUGGAUGCUAAAGAGUACUCGCGUUGCAAUGCAUAAGUAUUGUUUCAGACUUGAAACAAAAGGUGUUCAUUUCUCUGGUGGCGACGCUUAUUUCAUGACUCCUUCUUAUUUGAAAGUGAUGUGGAGAAGAAUCAUUUUCCUUCGGAUUGUACUUGAACAAGGUUACAACUUUGUUUUCACGGAUGCUGAUGUGAUCUGGUUCAGGAACUUAUUUGUUUUUCAAAGCUUUCAGUAUUUAAUGUUGUCUUCUGAUUCUUUUUAUGAACUGCAUUUGAUUGAGACCUCUUGUGAGAUCAUUCACAUACUUACAAAGCCUUAGUCUGCUUGGCAGGGAAUACUGUGUCCUUUUUGUUUGAUAAACUCACAUGACACAUAUGUCAUGCAUUUUGGGAGGCUAAGCGUGGCAUUUCCCAAGGUAUAUAUUGUAUUGUAUUAGCAUGAAGGAUUGAGCUAUAAAUUGGUUGAUAUAUGUGUUGGAGAUAGGAUGUAUUUUAUAUGUUUUAUGGUGUCAUGAAAUCAGAAUUGCAUUUUGGGUUUGGUUUGAUACUUAAGCUGCUCAUAUAUGUGUCUCUGUUUUUUUGAUUUGAAGAACUAUUAUUAUGUGUGUAUAUCCGAAGAAUUGAUUGGUUUAGUGAGCAGAGUAGAGUGAGUAAAGAGAUGGCUGGGCACAAGAUCGCACAUGCAACUUUGAAAGGUCCAAGUGUUGUGAAGGAGUUAGUAAUCAGCCUUCUAUGAUUUGCUUGAGAAAGGAUAGAUUGGUGUUGUUGUUGCAAAAGAGUAAGUUAGUAAUAGAGGGAGAUUUGAUGAUGACAAUUACCUCAAAUUCUAGUGUUUGCUAUUAAAUUUGCUAUUAAAAAGGCUGCAAUGUAACAUACAUACAAAUUAAA
Molecule: non-coding RNA, 1328 nt
Organism: Camelina sativa (false flax)
Lineage: Eukaryota; Viridiplantae; Streptophyta; Magnoliopsida; Brassicales; Brassicaceae
Source: RefSeq, a predicted model, not a curated record